AACGAACGCUGGCGGCGUGCCUAAUACAUGCAAGUCGAACGGUCUUUUCUAUGGAAGCUUGCUUCCACUGAGAAGAUAGUGGCGCACGGGUGCGUAACACGUGGGUAAUCAACCCUUCAGCUUGGGAUAACGACUUGAAAGGGUCGCUAAUACCGGAUACGGCGCGGGAGGCUUCGGCUUCUCACGAGAAAGCCUCGCAAGGGGCACUGAAGGACGAGCCUGCGGCCCAUCAGCUAGUUGGUGAGGUAAGAGCUCACCAAGGCGAAGACGGGUAGCUGGUCUGAGAGGAUGAUCAGCCACACUGGAACUGAGACACGGUCCAGACUCCUACGGGAGGCAGCAGUGGGGAAUAUUGCGCAAUGGGCGAAAGCCUGACGCAGCCACGCCGCGUGAGCGAUGAAGGCCUUGGUCGGUAAGACUCUGUGGGGAGAGACGAAGAAAGACCCGUG
RNAcentral lists this ribosomal RNA (449 nucleotides) under uncultured bacterium. RNAcentral's name for it is "bacterial SSU rRNA". It matches the Rfam family "Bacterial small subunit ribosomal RNA", at positions 29 to 461 of the family's 1533-position model. The record is from RNAcentral.